AUGGGUUUGGGAGUGAUUUGGGUUUUCAUUGUUGCUCUUUUAGAAGGUGUUCAAUGUGAGGUGCAGCUGGUGGAGACAGGGGGUGGCCUGCUGCAGCCUGGGGCGGCCCUGAGGCUCUCAUGUGCAGCCUCUGGAUUCACUUUCAGUAACUACUGGAUGUACUGGGUCCGACAGGCUCCAGGGAAGGGGCUGGAAUGGAUUGGACGAAUUUCACCAAAUGGUGGUACCACAGACUAUGCACCAUCCUUGAAGGAUCGAUUAACUAUCUCCAGAGACAAUGCCAAACAAACUCUGCACCUGCAAAUGAACAGUGUGAGAUCUGAGGACACUGCUACUUACUACUGUACUCCUCCUCCUGAAAGCCAAGCAGGUCUUUCUUGGGAGUCAGCAUCAGCUCCCAGGGAUCCAGGGAAAAUUCAUGGCUUUGUCAUCAUGGCUUCAUCAUGCCUCAGCCACUAG
This is a non-coding RNA of Peromyscus californicus insignis, 459 nucleotides long. The record is from the annotation of a RefSeq genome assembly. NCBI's taxonomy places the organism in Eukaryota, Metazoa, Chordata, Mammalia, Rodentia, Cricetidae.